CCAGACUCCUACGGGAGGCAGCAGUGAGGAAUAUUGGUCAAUGGACGCAAGUCUGAACCAGCCAUGCCGCGUGCAGGAAGACGGCUCUAUGAGUUGUAAACUGCUUUUGUACGAGGGUAAACGCAGAUACGUGUAUCUGUCUGAAAGUAUCGUACGAAUAAGGAUCGGCUAACUCCGUGCCAGCAGCCGCGGUAAUACGGAGGAUUCAAGCGUUAUCCGGAUUUAUUGGGUUUAAAGGGUGCGUAGGCGGAGUGUCAAGUCAGCGGUAAAAUUUCGGGGCUCAACCCCGUCGUGCCGUUGAAACUGACGCCCUUGAGUGAGUGAGAAGUAAGCGGAAUGCGUGGUGUAGCGGUGAAAUGCAUAGAUAUCGCGCAGAACUCCGAUUGCGAAGGCAGCAUGCCGGCUCCACACUGACGCUGAGGCACGAAAGCGUGGGUAUCGAACAGGAUUAGAUACCCCAGUA
This 463-nucleotide ribosomal RNA is filed under the name uncultured bacterium. RNAcentral describes it as "bacterial SSU rRNA". It matches the Rfam family "Bacterial small subunit ribosomal RNA", at positions 331 to 792 of the family's 1533-position model. The record is from RNAcentral.